This is an RNA transcript of Paramacrobiotus metropolitanus, 1267 nucleotides long. RefSeq lists it as uncharacterized. NCBI's taxonomy places the organism in Eukaryota, Metazoa, Tardigrada, Eutardigrada, Parachela, Macrobiotidae. The transcript has 3 exons. The record is from RefSeq and is a predicted model, not a curated record.
UCUUGGCCGCUGAUCAUUUCGUCAUGCGGACGUGUGAUGUGCCCAACGGCUACUGGGGCCUGGAACCGUCGGUAGCGGCGUUCCAUUUGCGCUUCACGAAAGUCCUCAGUCAGCAGAUGCACUAUGUCCGACUGCGUGAAGAAUUGCCGAUGUGGUGGAAUGAAUUCAAGGGAGACGUGGCAAAUGUGUUCGAAAAAGAACGAAACCAUCCGGAUUAUUACGAUAAACUUUUGGAAAAAAACCAAGAAGCGGGGAAAGCCGUCGGACUACGGCGAGCGAUAUUUGGCAGUGCCUUUGGAACUGUUGAAGGAAGUCUUCCACUCCCUGGACACUGUCGACCGGCAGCGCUGCCGUCGGACGUGUGCACUGUGGGAAGCCUUUCUCACGUCGGCGGAGCUGUGCCAGGAAGUGCGGGUGACGCGGAAGCGGCCCAGCCGGUUAUCCCGUGUAAGGUGGGACUGCAAUUACGCCAUGUACGGCUGCAUCUUCAAGCACAUCACACCGGCCACCCGCACCAUCGCCAUUCGCGACACCGACCCGUCACCCCUCCAUCUCGAACACAUACCGCAUGCUGCCGGUGAAGUGGUGGACGUUAUGAAGAAGGUCUUGGAUACGGCCGGCAUCCGCAUCGAACGCUUCAUCUCGUGCCGGCAGUCCAUCUGGCUCAGAGAAGAAAUAUUUAACCAGUGGAAACUGAGCGCCCUGUCCAUCCACAUCGCCGCGCUCCACGCCAAGCUGGUGUCGUCCUGUCAACGUCUGAUUGUAAAAGAAUACUCCUCACAGUGGUAAAAAUGUUCGGCCGGCCCUUGAUGAAGUCCCGCAUUCCCCUGGUUGCAUUCUCCGGGGGACAAGUCGACGCGGCGCACAUUGUCGGUCUGCUGGAGCAGGGUCUGUACUGGGAGGAGCCGCCGUUGGAUGUGCGCCGCCUGGCCGACUGCAUGGCCAACGGGAUCGACAGCCAAGAGAAGGCCAAAGGAGUGAAGAAGAUUCUCUGGGACUUCCAAACCCGCGAUCCGCGCCCAUCGUCGGCGUAUCGCAACCGCAAGUGGACGGUGUACAAUGUGGCCGGCGUGGAUGUGAGCCGACUGAACCGCUUCUGCCUGAAUGCCUUAGCGCGCUACGCACGGCGCUGGAAUCCGGCAUCCGUGGAGGGCAGCGCUCAGUCGGUGCAAUCCAGCAGUGAAUCCAGCGGUCCGUCCAACGAGUCCGGCAGUGAAGUCAGCAACUCCAGCAGCUCGGAAUCCCAUGACGGCGAGGAUUAAAUACC